RNAcentral lists this ribosomal RNA (527 nucleotides) under fungal endophyte sp. DM172. RNAcentral describes it as "eukaryotic LSU rRNA". It matches the Rfam family "Eukaryotic large subunit ribosomal RNA", at positions 103 to 653 of the family's 3401-position model. The record is from RNAcentral. Lineage: Eukaryota; Fungi.
AACAGCUCAAAUUUGAAAUCUGGCUCUCGGGCCCGAGUUGUAAUUUGUAGAGGAUACUUUUGAUGCGGUGCCUUCCGAGUUCCCUGGAACGGGACGCCAUAGAGGGUGAGAGCCCCGUCUGGUUGGAUGCCAAAUCUCUGUAAAGUUCCUUCGACGAGUCGAGUAGUUUGGGAAUGCUGCUCUAAAUGGGAGGUAUAUGUCUUCUAAAGCUAAAUACCGGCCAGAGACCGAUAGCGCACAAGUAGAGUGAUCGAAAGAUGAAAAGCACUUUGAAAAGAGAGUUAAAAAGUACGUGAAAUUGUUGAAAGGGAAGCGUUUAUGACCAGACUUGGGCUUGGUUAAUCAUCUGGGGUUCUCCCCAGUGCACUUUUCCAGUCCAGGCCAGCAUCAGUUUUCCCCGGGGGAUAAAGACUUCGGGAAUGNGGCUCUCUUCGGGGAGUGUUAUAGCCCGUUGUGUAAUACCCUGGGGGGGACUGAGGUUCGCGCAUCUGCAAGGAUGCUGGCGUAAUGGUCAUCAACGACCCGUC